RNAcentral lists this ribosomal RNA (540 nucleotides) under Cherax sp. n. 5 RE-2014. RNAcentral describes it as "partial 16S ribosomal RNA". It matches the Rfam family "Bacterial large subunit ribosomal RNA", at positions 1829 to 2630 of the family's 2925-position model. The record is from RNAcentral. Lineage: Eukaryota; Metazoa; Arthropoda; Malacostraca; Decapoda; Parastacidae.
GUCUGUAUGAGAGUUAUAUAAAGUCUGGCCUGCCCAUUGGGAACUAAAAGGCCGCGGUAUUGUGACCGUGCGAAGGUAGCAUAAUCAUUAGUCUUUUAAUUGGAGGCUGGAAUGAAUGGCUGGACGAGAAGUAAGCUGUCUUUAUCUCAGAAGUUGAAUUUAACUUUUAAGUGAAAAGGCUUAAAUGAAUUAGAGGGACGAUAAGACCCUAUAAAGUUUAAACACUGAGUUAGUUAAGAGUGAUUUAGAGUAGUAAGGUUUAUUAUUAGUUAGGUGUUUGGUUGGGGCGACUAGAAUAUAAGUUAUAUAACUGUUUUUUAUUUGAAUCAGAGAUAUCUGUUCACAUGAUCCCUUUUUAGGAUUAAAGAGUAAAUUACUUUAGGGAUAACAGCGUAAUUUUUUUUGAGAGUUCUUAUCGACAAAAGAGUUUGCGACCUCGAUGUUGAAUUAAAAUUUCUUUGUGGCGUAGCAGUUACAAAAGAAGGUCUGUUCGACCUUUAAAUUUUUACAUGAUUUGAGUUCAGACCGGCGUGAGCCAGG